This 397-nucleotide unclassified non-coding RNA is filed under the name Metschnikowia bowlesiae. RNAcentral's name for it is "external transcribed spacer". Lineage: Eukaryota; Fungi; Ascomycota; Pichiomycetes; Serinales; Metschnikowiaceae. The record is from RNAcentral.
AUUUUACGCAACUUUUGUUAGACUUUUUCAAAACGAAUAUUUUUGCAGCAGGCAAACUGCGCGGGUGCAGCAUUUUGCGGCCGGAGGUACUAUAUGAGAGAGAAAUCUCUUAGGAAUAGUGAGAGCCUCUGUGUGCAUGUGAGUUCACACAAUAUACCUCCGAAUUCCGAUGGAAUAAGAAGAUUUAUAUGAAUUUUAUAUAAACUUUAUAUAAACUUUAUACAAACACUUCCUAUUUCUUGGCCCUGCGAUUUAUCGCUCAAGUCUCGGGCAGACAACGUCUCCCCGAGCAAGGUGAAACAGUGGAUUACUAGGCAAUGCCAAAAUCUACAAACUCACAGAUCUUUAGAUCUUUUUGCUACGAGUCAGUGGACAAUCUUUAAUUAAUAACUUCUUA